This 492-nucleotide ribosomal RNA is filed under the name uncultured bacterium. RNAcentral's name for it is "partial 16S ribosomal RNA". It matches the Rfam family "Bacterial small subunit ribosomal RNA", at positions 29 to 507 of the family's 1533-position model. The record is from RNAcentral.
AGUGAACGCCGGCGGUAGGCCUAACACAUGCAAGUCGAACGGCAGCACAGUAAGAUCUUGCUCUUACGGGUGGCGAGUGGCGGACGGGUGAGGAAUACAUCGGAAUCUACUUUUUCGUGGGGGAUAACGUAGGGAAACUUACUCUAAUACCGCAUACGACCUACGGGUGAAAGCAGUGGAUCUUCGGACCUUGCGCGAUUGAAUGAGCCGAUGUCGGAUUAGCUAGUUGGCGGGUUAAAGGCCCACCAAGGCGACGAUCCGUAGCUGGUCUGAGAGGAUGAUAAGCCACACUGGAACUGAGACACGGUCCAGACUCCUACGGGAGGCAGCAGUGGGGAAUAUUGGACAAUGGGCGCAAGCCUGAUCCAGCCAUACCGCGUGGGUGAAGAAGGCCUUCGGGUUGUAAAGCCCUUUUGUUGGGAAAGAAAAGCAGCAGGUUAAUACCCCGCUGUUCUGACGGUACCCAAAGAAUAAGCACCGGCUAACUUCGUG